Molecule: ribosomal RNA, 499 nt
Filed under: uncultured bacterium
Lineage: Bacteria
Description: partial 16S ribosomal RNA
Rfam family: Bacterial small subunit ribosomal RNA
Source: RNAcentral
GACGAACGCUGGCGGCGUGCUUAACACAUGCAAGUCGAACGGGCCUGUCUUCUUUUUUGGGGGUGGGUUGAGUGGCGAACGGGUGAGUAUCACGUGAGUAACCUGCCCUUCGGUCCUGGAUAACCGCUUGAAAGGGCGGCUAAUACGGGGUGGUCCGGUUGGUCCGCAUGGGCUGGUCGGGAUAGAUUCACUGUUUUUGGUGUUUCGGCGGGGGAUGGGCUCGCGGCCUAUCAGCUUGUUGGUGGGGUGAUGGCAUACCAAGGCGGUGACGGGUAGCCGGCUUGGGAGGGUGGGCGGCCACACUGGGCCGUGGAUACGGCCCAGACUCCUGCGGGAGGCAGCAGUGGGGGGUAGUGCACAAGGGGCGGAAGCCUGAUGCAGCGACGUCGGGUGAGGGAUGGAGGCCUUCGGGUUGUGAACCUCUGUUUCCGGUGGUGAAGGCCCUGUCCGUGUGGUGGGGUUGACGGUAGCCGGGGAUGAAGCGCCGGCUAACUACGUG